AAACAAACAACACAAGAUGAGAUACAAAUGGAUGUACAAUGAUAU
RNAcentral lists this non-coding RNA (45 nucleotides) under Trypanosoma brucei brucei. The record is from RNAcentral. Lineage: Eukaryota; Euglenozoa; Kinetoplastea; Trypanosomatida; Trypanosomatidae.